Molecule: ribosomal RNA, 443 nt
Filed under: uncultured bacterium
Lineage: Bacteria
Description: partial 16S ribosomal RNA
Rfam family: Bacterial small subunit ribosomal RNA
Source: RNAcentral
CCUACGGGUGGCUGCAGUGGGGAAUAUUGGGCAAUGGGCGCAAGCCUGACCCAGCAACGCCGCGUGAAGGAAGAAGGCUUUCGGGUUGUAAACUUCUUUUAUGAGGGACGAAGGAAGUGACGGUACCUCAUGAAUAAGCCACGGCUAACUACGUGCCAGCAGCCGCGGUAAUACGUAGGUGGCGAGCGUUAUCCGGAUUUACUGGGUGUGAAGGGCGUGUAGGCGGGCUUGCAAGUCAGAUGUGAAAACUAUGGGCUCAACCCAUAGACUGCAGUUGAAACUGUAGGUCUUGAGGGAUGGAGAGGCAGGCGGAAUUCCGGGUGUAGCGGUGAAAUGCGUAGAUAUACGGAGGAACACCAGUGGCGAAGGCGGCCUGCUGGACAUUAACUGACGCUGAGGCGCGAAAGCGUGGGGAGCAAACAGGAUUAGAUACCCCAGUAGUC